AGGCACCUUGUGUACUUCAUCUAUUGUAGUUGAUGAAUGAAAUAUGUAAUGGUGUAAUUGAGAGAUGAUCAUGUAUGUAUUGGGAGAAUGAAUGUAAAUAAAAUUGUAAGCCUUGUAUUUGAUUUAAAGUGAUCAAGAUACAUUAUAUGGAUGUAAUAGAUAGCUUACUUUCACUUGCUUAGUUGUUGCUUGCCCUCGAGCAUGCCAUAUAUAUUGCAGUUAUUCCUGGGCAAAUGCUUUAUACAUGUUUUGUUGUGGAGCCUUGGGUAGGCAGAAGAGGUUCUGUC
This 287-nucleotide long non-coding RNA is filed under the name Ananas comosus (pineapple). Its description in RNAcentral is "long non-coding RNA (ACOM_LNC013789)". Lineage: Eukaryota; Viridiplantae; Streptophyta; Magnoliopsida; Poales; Bromeliaceae. The record is from RNAcentral.